Molecule: ribosomal RNA, 450 nt
Filed under: uncultured bacterium
Lineage: Bacteria
Description: bacterial SSU rRNA
Rfam family: Bacterial small subunit ribosomal RNA
Source: RNAcentral
UAGGGAAUAUUGCUCAAUGGGGGAAACCCUGAAGCAGCAACGCCGCGUGAGUGAUGAAGGCCUUCGGGUCGUAAAGCUCUGUUGUACGGGAAAAAUGAGGAUGUGGCUAACAUCCAUAUCCUGUGAUUGUACUGUAUAAGAAAGGACCGGCUAACUUCGUGCCAGCAGCCGCGGUAAGACGGGGGGUCCUAGCGUUGUUCGGAAUCAUUGGGCGUAAAGCGUGUGCAGGUGGUUUGGUAAGUUGGAUGUGAAAGCCUUGGGCUUAACCCAAGAAGUGCAUUCAAAACUACCAAACUUGAGUAGGGAAGAGGGUCGUGGAAUUCCAGGUGUAGUGGUGAAAUACGUAGAUAUCUGGAGGAACACCGGUGGCGAAGGCGGCGACCUGGUCCUAUACUGACACUCAUACACGAAAGCGUGGGGAUCAAACAGGAUUAGAUACCCCCGUAGUCC